UAACACUGGCGGCAUGCUCAGACCGCAGUCUGAACGGAGAUACCUUUAAAGAUUCGGUUGGAAAAAGGAAUAUCUUAGUGGCGAACGGGUGAGUAACAGGUAAGAAACCUACCCUAAAGACGGGGAUAACAUUUGGAAACGAAUGCUAAUACCGGAUAGUAUACAACUUCGCAUGGAGAUGUAUUUAAAGGUGCUUCGGCAUCACUCUAGGAGGAGCCUGCUUCGUAUUAGCUAGUUGGUAAGGUAACGGCUUACCAAGGCAAUGAUGCGUAGCCGAGCUGAGAGGCUGAUCGGCCACACUGGAACUGAGACACGGUCCAGACUCCUACGGGAGGCAGCAGUUAGGGAUAUUCGGCAAUGGGGGAAACCCUGACCGAGCAAUGCCGCGUGAACGAAGAAGUAUUUCGAUAUGUAAAGUUCUGUUGUUAAGGAAGAAAGAUAGUGAUAGGAAAUGAUCAUUAUUUGACGGUACCUUGACCAGAAAGCCCCUGCUAACUACGUGCCAGCAGCAGCGGGUAAUUACGUUAAGGGGCGAGCGUUAUCCCGGAAAUUAUUGGGGCGUACAGGGGUGGCGUAGGUGGGCGGUCAA
Molecule: ribosomal RNA, 589 nt
Filed under: uncultured bacterium
Lineage: Bacteria
Description: bacterial SSU rRNA
Rfam family: Bacterial small subunit ribosomal RNA
Source: RNAcentral